ACGGAACGAAAAGGCCAGCCCUAAUACGGCAGGCCCAUGACGGUACCGUAAGAAUAAGCACCGGCUAACUACGUGCCAGCAGCCGCGGUAAUACGUAGGGUGCGAGCGUUAAUCGGAAUUACUGGGCGUAAAGCGUGCGCAGGCGGUGAUGUAAGACAGUUGUGAAAUCCCCGGGCUCAACCUGGGAAUUGCAUCUGUGACUGCAUCGCUAGAGUACGGUAGAGGGGGAUGGAAUUCCGCGUGUAGCAGUGAAAUGCGUAGAUAUGCGGAGGAACACCGAUGGCGAAGGCAAUCCCCUGGACCUGUACUGACGCUCAUGCACGAAAGCGUGGGGAGCAAACAGGAUUAGAUACCCUGGUAGUCCACGCCCUAAACGAUGUCAACUGGUUGUUGGGUGCAUUAGUACUCAGUAACGAAGCUAACGCGUGAAGUUGACCGCCUGGGGAGUACGGCCGCAAGGUUGAAACUCAAAUGAAUUGACGG
Molecule: ribosomal RNA, 483 nt
Filed under: uncultured bacterium
Lineage: Bacteria
Description: bacterial SSU rRNA
Rfam family: Bacterial small subunit ribosomal RNA
Source: RNAcentral